RNAcentral lists this small RNA (80 nucleotides) under Nitratireductor thuwali. Its description in RNAcentral is "Nitratireductor sp. 1536 suhB". It matches the Rfam family "Makes More Granules Regulator RNA (mmgR)". From Rfam's summary of the family: SuhB later renamed mmgR (makes more granules regulator) was a putative non-coding RNA found multiple times in the Agrobacterium tumefaciens genome and related alpha-proteobacteria. Lineage: Bacteria; Pseudomonadati; Pseudomonadota; Alphaproteobacteria; Hyphomicrobiales; Phyllobacteriaceae. The record is from RNAcentral.
CCAUCCUGCCCACUUUGGGCGUUUCCUCCCUAGACUUACGACCGUGUCGUGUAAACGAUGCGGUCUUUUUUUAUCCAGGA